RNAcentral lists this microRNA precursor (3235 nucleotides) under Manduca sexta (tobacco hornworm). The stretch from base 1001 to 1076 matches the Rfam family "mir-9/mir-79 microRNA precursor family". The record is from RNAcentral. Lineage: Eukaryota; Metazoa; Arthropoda; Insecta; Lepidoptera; Sphingidae.
CGUAGAUACGUUCCCAUCGCGAUCCUACACUCAAUUUUAAACAUUUGGCUUGGAAUUACUCGUCAACGGCCAGCCAAGUCGUCAAUAUCAGCCGCGACUACAUGUCAAAAGUGAAGGCGUUGACUUUGGGUCGGCGACACGUUAGCCGCGAACUAGCGACUCGCUGCCGCUUUAUUGGUCUUUGGACGAUAUUCGGGAAGGUCGCAUGCGCGUUGAAGUUUCCUUGUAAACUUUAAGAGUGGAGUUUUAUUUGAGGUUGUCCAUAAUGAGGAGAUAUUAUCGUGUUAUUGGUGCAAGAAAUAUCGGUUGGAGGCAGUUAGGCAGUGACUGUAACGUGUCGUGGUUUGGUUGGAUGGCGUCGGUGGUCGCGCCGCGCCGCCCCCGCUGGCGCCCCCGCCUGCGGCCCCGCUGGCGCGUGCGCACGGCGCGGGUCAUCGGCAGCGGUGACGUCAGCGAGGCUGCGCCGCUCGGCCCAAUGGGGCGGUGGCAGAGCGCGGGGCAGCGGCGGCCGGCGCUGGCGCGGGCCAGUCGCGUCCGCCGCCCAGUGCGAGCCGCGUGCGCGCAGUGAACCUACCGCAAGCCGCACGAUUGCUUCAACUUGGCGGAACGCCGCGCGCUCGCGUUUCACUUGGGGCCUUUUUCGCUCGCUGUGCUCGUGUGGUUAAGUGUCAAAGGCUCCAAGUGAAUGUUUGAAGUUUGUACGGCCGGGUUUCCCGCCAAGCUUGAAUAAUCGUGCGGUUGGUCCGUGGGCGCCCGGGAUGAGCACCCGGAUGCGCCCGCGCACCGCUCCACCGUCUCGUCGCAGGUGGUGGAAAGCUGACAUCAACAGUUCUCUUCCACGCCCGCAGAAGAAAGAAAGUGUAGAAGACAAAAGAAAAAUAAUCAGUAAAAUAUACAUAGUAGUUCAAAUUCAGCAAUAAACGCCGUGAGAAACAAGAUCCAACACCAAAAGAACAAAAAAGAAGUAUAAAGAAGUAAGAAGAAAAGAAGAGAGUAGAUUGGUUAAUUAUCUUUGGUUAUCUAGCUGUAUGAGUAUUUUAGACAUCAUAAAGCUAGGUUACCGGAGUUAAGUACCAUCUACGACUACAAUAAGAAACAAGAAGAGAAGCAGAAAAAAAAUAUAUAUAAAUGCUUAGGUUUUAAAUAUUUAAAUAGAAUUUUAUUGUAAUUUUAUGGGACUUGUACUUUGUAGAUUGUACGACAAUAUUAAUUUUUAAACUGUAAUGUGUUAAUUUAAGGCUUAUACGUAAGACCUAUGACUCAAUUUAACUACGCUGCACUUUAGUAACUACUGGAUUUAGUAAAGACUGUAUUAUCUAUAUCUUAAAAUUCUCAUUGGAAAGUAUAACAGAAAAUGGUUGCCAAAAUGAACAUUUUUAUCGAAGUUGAAUUCUAAUACUGGAAAAAUAAUUACUCCAUCCGUCUACACAGUUAAUGGAUGGAAUCGGAUGCCUUUUGUUUUUCUAUUUGCUCGGACAGAGUAAUGGACUUACUUCGUAGACGAUCGAUCUUUCCUUAACUUCUCAUUAUACUUCCAAUUCCAGAAGACAUUAAUGUGGAUAUUUAUUGUAAAAGAAUUUAUAUUUAGGACCAGUUUUAUACUGUUCAACUAUAUAUUAUCGGCCAGAUAGUGUAUAAGACAGAUAAUGCAUGUAGCCCUUUUAUUUACAAUUUAUUUGGAAGCUUAAUUUAUAUUUGAUCGUCCUAUUUAUAUUUGAUGUUAAACGAUUACUCAUUCUCUAUGUCUUUACUAAUAUGUAAAGCUGAAGGGUUUGUUUCAACAUGAUAAUCUAAAAAUCUAAACCGAUUUUCAUUUUUUUACUAAUAGAAAACUUCCUCCUAAGCAUCGAUAUAUAUGUACUACGUACUAGCUUCGGCGCGUCGAACAUUCAUCGUGUUUAACUUAAUUGAACUGCAAUCCAUACAACUGCUUUAGUAUGGUGUCAAUAUUGAAAAAUUGUGUUUGUGUACGGAGUGGCGCUUAUAACAUAUAACAAGAACUCGAGUCUAAGUCUAAAUAAUGGAUGUGAAUAAAAAAUAUUACUCAAAUAAAUAAAAUUAUUUGUUGUUCAAGUGAAUGAAUAGGAUAUAACAGAGACGUUUUGGUUGCCAUUUUAGUGUAGGUUUUGAACAAAUAGUUUAUAUGGACGUUCGUGUCUAGUCAAUGUUCCUAAGUGACUAUAUUGGAAAAUAUUUAACCCGGAAAAACUUUUUCACGCGGGCCGAGACGCAGGUAAAAGCUAGUCAUAAUAUAUGCAAGAACUAAGGCCGUACACAAGACGCCAUUUUACAAUCGUUAACGCCUUCUACAAUGUAUGAGAAUAACAUUGCCUAUCGAUAAGUAUUUCGCCAGGACAUGUUCCCAUCAGUGGCAAAGGAUGAAAUUUUCCGAAAGGUGACCUGCCACAACAUUACUAAUAUGGAUAAAUGCGGUCCGCAAAUCGUUCUGGUAACUAAAUUUUACAUCAAUUACGAAAGGGAAGCCGAUAGGAAUCGGGUGAUAUAGACCCUUCGCUACUGGUUUCUAUACAUAUUUUGUAGCCUAUUAGCAUUAACAAUUGUAGAAAGGCAUUUUAGCUAUAUAUAUUUCGAUCUUGUGUGAUGUUGACUGAGGAUAGUGGCCCUUAGAAAUAAAAAUGAGUUCAGGGUGGAAUUUCAAGGUAUAAUCAACUCUAUAUACGUUUGUUACGCUGCUAUCCUAGCCGAUAACAUCGGGCGUUUCCGGAAGUAUUCGGCUGCGCUUCAGGCUGGCAGAAGAGAAGAUAUGUCACGCGGCGACUAUUCUAUUAUUUCAUAUUAUUCCCUCUGGUUGCACGUAGUCAAAAAAUGUUUUAAAUUGUAUUCUGUAAUUAUUUUUGCAAAUAUAUUGUUUAAUACUGUAAAAAGAGCGUUUAACGCGUUUUUAAGCACGCUGUGACAUAGAUUUGCUUUAAUUUACAUGUGAGUUGGAAGUAAACGCAAAAACCGCGAAACGACAAUGUAUGAAGUUUGGAACCAAGCCAUGAACUAGGAUAAUAUAUUUCUUACACUGGAUACACAUCCAUUAUUCUAGGAAAUCCUUAAACAGACGAAGCUGCGAGUAAAACUUAGUACUUUAUAAAAUGCAUUUUAUACUAGACAGUGGCCAGCGCAAACUCACGCGUUACCACUAAGUCCAGUUAGCAUUCCAAUCGACCGCGUCUGCCGUCGGUAACCACAAUGAUUGGCCCGCGAACAACUAAUCUAUCGGCUUUAA